CAGAUUGGGUGUGUGCUAAAUUAAUUUAAGUGUAACAUGUUGCUUCUACCAUAUGUAGUCAUGUUUUGUGGUUGAACAUCAUUAAGUAAUGUUAUUUUAGCAUGAUGUGGAAUAAUUUAAGAUUUACUAAAUUCAGUUAUGCUGACAGAACCUAAUGCUUUUUGUGUAAGGUAUCAAAUGGCGUGUAGAACUCCAGAACAGAAGGUGGCAGUAGUGUGCGAGCAGGGAGUGCAUUUACAAACUUUACUUCCGGAAGGUGCAGAAGAAGGAAGAGCAACACACAAAGACGCGGGAAGACGGACAAGUUGGGGAUGGCGGUAAGCAUUCUGUGACUGCAAGGGGAGAGGCUGGGUGUCCUAGUGUUUGCAAGCCUUAAGAUUUGUGGCAGAGUUAUUUAAAUGGCCAGACGACAUACACACAGCUUUCUUAAUAUACAUUCAAGACCAAGUUUCCUCUGUCAUCAAGCAAAACCUGUUUCAUCAACCGAGUGACUGCAGUAUAGGGUCAUCCACAAAUAUCUCUCCUUCACCAUCAUUGAUUGCUCUCUCGCUGGUCAUCACAGAAAUUCAAGACAAUUCAGACCGACAACAUUGAUGCGAAAAGAGAGUGCCUCCGUCAGGCGCUGUCGGUCUACUUGAACGAAGACCCGGAGAAAGUGGUGAAAGAACGCAUGGACUGAUGUUGACAUGGGUUAAGCUGAAAUGGAGACUGUCUUUGGAGUAUUUGUGAUACGCAGAGAAGGUGCAGAAUGUGAUGAUGGUCCAGAUGAUGUGGGCAUCAUUUUGGAGGGGGUACAAGUCCUCAAUGAGCUGGGUAAUGUAGCAGUAGCAGUUGCAAUGCUGUUCACUUUAGUUCAUGCACUCAAUCUCAGCUACCCCCCAGAGUGGAAAUACACUUUCGAAGCUCUGCAGAAACUCAUCAUGGGGCUUGAUGGACAGAAGUUGUCUAAGAAACUGCAGGUGCUGAAAACCCUACUUACGUGUUAAUAUUUUGUAGGGUAGCUGUUAGAGGUCUUCAACAACGAAAGUAUCCCAGAGUCAUGUUGGGGAGGCAGGUGGGGAGUCGUUCAGUCAAUAUUAGUGUUUUAAAAUGUUUCAAUGCUCCCAGUUGUUGCAAAAAUGUGGAGAAGCCUUCUGUUCCGUGUUAAUCUAUUUCUGUGUUAACAAUGCUUCAAAUUGUUGCCUUGUUUGAAUUUGAAGGACAUGUGUAUGAGUAUUUCAGACUAUUUUUCCAUUAAAAAAGAAAGAUGACAAUAGGUAAAUCUGUUUCAUCUCAUUUUGAAUUUUAAAAUGAGACUGAAUUUUUAGCAUUGCAUAUUAUAGCAUUGAAAUACUCGUACUCGUCAUCUUCUGCUUUAUCCGGGACCGGGUCGUAGGGGCAGCAGACUCAGCAGAGACGCCCAGACGUCCCUCUCUCCAGACAC
Girardinichthys multiradiatus is the source of this 1423-nucleotide long non-coding RNA. RefSeq lists it as uncharacterized. The transcript is spliced from 6 exons. The record is from RefSeq and is a predicted model, not a curated record. Lineage: Eukaryota; Metazoa; Chordata; Actinopteri; Cyprinodontiformes; Goodeidae.